AAAAGUCAAAAUCGCCAUUAUUGAACUUGACCUCCAUUUUGUCAUCAGUAAUAACAUAUUAAAAUUUGGGAAGCUUUGGUAGAACAGUUCAUGCGUAAAUGCACGGACACGACUGGAAACUCCAUUUUUCAAUCUUUCAAGAACCAUAAAUCCUGAACGGUAAAAGUCAAAAUCGUCAUUGUUGAACUUGACCUCCAUUUUGUCAUCAG
Molecule: long non-coding RNA, 209 nt
Filed under: Mytilus galloprovincialis (Mediterranean mussel)
Lineage: Eukaryota; Metazoa; Mollusca; Bivalvia; Mytilida; Mytilidae
Source: RNAcentral